This 73-nucleotide transfer RNA is filed under the name Ovis aries (sheep). It matches the Rfam family "tRNA". From Rfam's summary of the family: Transfer RNA (tRNA) molecules are approximately 80 nucleotides in length. Their secondary structure includes four short double-helical elements and three loops (D, anti-codon, and T loops). Lineage: Eukaryota; Metazoa; Chordata; Mammalia; Artiodactyla; Bovidae. The record is from Rfam by way of RNAcentral.
UCCCUGGCAGUUAAACGGUUAAGGUUCUGCACUUCCACUGCAGGGGAUACGGGUUUGAUCCCUGGUCAGGGAA